GAUGUGACUGCAACGUCUUUCACUCCUUUGACUUGCAGGGUUGAUUUGACUGGUCUGAUUGACCAGGUGGGUGUCCCCUUCCUCAUUCACUACUCCUUGGCCAAAGAUAUGUGAUAGCUACACUUCUCUGCUAGAACCUCCAAACUCCCAUCAGCCAAAAUCAACAUGACCAAUGGUCAGGGAUGAUGUUAGUUGGAGCCGCAGUUUAGUCACCUGUAGUCUACAUUAAAUUUAGUUGUAUCUCAUGGUGUGCAGUU
Molecule: non-coding RNA, 257 nt
Organism: Podarcis lilfordi (Lilford's wall lizard)
Lineage: Eukaryota; Metazoa; Chordata; Lepidosauria; Squamata; Lacertidae
Source: the annotation of a GenBank genome assembly